Molecule: long non-coding RNA, 520 nt
Organism: Vitis riparia (riverbank grape)
Lineage: Eukaryota; Viridiplantae; Streptophyta; Magnoliopsida; Vitales; Vitaceae
Exons: 2
Source: RefSeq, a predicted model, not a curated record
AAAGAUGCUGAUUUUUAUGUUGAAGAUCACUGAAGAGUGUUGCCUAUAUGAGAGCAAUUUCUCAUAAUGAAGGGUGAAGAUGAAAGUGUUAAUCUCUUACACUUGGGAACCAACAGACAACCUCAUAUUUCAAAACCAUAAAAUGCAUUACUGAAACAUGGAAAGUCAAAAACGAAUGUAUGGAUUUAGAGGAUGUCUGAUUGAGAAAAUGAUGGUGGAUUCAAAAUUCUCCAUCAUCUCUAUCAUGAGUGAUUGUUGAAGCUUUAGUUCAAACCCAAACACGAGACGACAGCAGUUGUGGAUUCUAAAUCUUCCUCAAGUGUAUUUGUUUUCUAAACAGUAAUAGAUGACUUUCAGUCUUUAUACUUGCAAUUUUAGUUUGUCAGUUUUUGUUCCCAAAAUUAUUGUGGAUUCAUACAUCUUAGAGUGGUUCUUUAAUGCCUGUUAUUUUUUUGGGUCGUUUUUGACUUGCUUGUAUGUAAUCUUUUAUUGAGUUCAUUUUUCCUUAUGAUCUUUUCUA